CAGUCGCCGCGGGAAUACGUAGGUGGCAAGCGUUGUCCGGAAUUAUUGGGCGUAAAGGGCUCGCAGGCGGUUUCUUAAGUCUGAUGUGAAAGCCCCCGGCUCAACCGGGGAGGGUCAUUGGAAACUGGGAAACUUGAGUGCAGAGGAGGAGAGUGGAAUUCCACGUGUAGCGGUGAAAUGCGUAGAGAUGUGGAGGAACACCAGUGGCGAAGGCGACUCUCUGGUCUGUAACUGACGCUGAGGAGCGAAAGCGUGGGGAGCGAACAGGAUUAGAUACCCCGGUAGUCCCUGUCUCUUAUAA
RNAcentral lists this ribosomal RNA (301 nucleotides) under uncultured bacterium. Its description in RNAcentral is "partial 16S ribosomal RNA". It matches the Rfam family "Bacterial small subunit ribosomal RNA", at positions 509 to 809 of the family's 1533-position model. The record is from RNAcentral.